Molecule: long non-coding RNA, 338 nt
Organism: Zophobas morio
Lineage: Eukaryota; Metazoa; Arthropoda; Insecta; Coleoptera; Tenebrionidae
Exons: 2
Source: RefSeq, a predicted model, not a curated record
GCAUCGUCACUUAAAGGGUCCUUGAGACGACCUCCACGUAGUAAAUAUAGUAGUAGACCUAGAAGACCUUUGUAUCCAUCUCCUGCUUUCUUGCAAUCUGUUAUGUAUCGGGCGGGACCAAACGGACCAAAGAGAUCAUAGACUGACGAAAUGACAGGUUACUACAACUACUACGAGCACUUUGACCCCUACUUCUUCCGGAGAUAGACCUCUGUAAAUACCGCUAACAACACCCAGAAUAGCCGUAGCAUCAUCCAGUCCCUAUUUAUUGUUAAUUUCUGUAAAAACCUGCUUUUGUAUUGUAUAAGACGUUAUCGAUAAUAAAUGUUUAACACUUC